This 305-nucleotide ribosomal RNA is filed under the name uncultured bacterium. RNAcentral's name for it is "bacterial SSU rRNA". It matches the Rfam family "Bacterial small subunit ribosomal RNA", at positions 338 to 660 of the family's 1533-position model. The record is from RNAcentral.
CCUACGGGGGGCAGCAGUGGGGAAUAUUGCACAAUGGGGGGAACCCUGAUGCAGCGACGCCGCGUGAGCGAAGAAGUAUUUCGGUAUGUAAAGCUCUAUCAGCAGGGAAGAAAAUGACGGUACCUGACUAAGAAGCCCCGGCUAACUACGUGCCAGCAGCCGCGGUAAUACGUAGGGGGCAAGCGUUAUCCGGAUUUACUGGGUGUAAAGGGAGCGCAGGCGGCGCGGUAAGUCUGAUGUGAAAGCCCGGGGCUCAACCCCGGGACUGCAUUGGAAACUGUCGUGCUGGAGUGUCGGAGGGGCAA